AUUCCAGCUCCAAUAGCGUAUAUUAAAGUUGUUGCAGUUAAAAAGCUCGUAGUCGGAUUUCGGGGCGGGCCGGGCGGUCUGCCGAUGGGUAUGCACUGUCCGGCGCGUCCUUCUUUCCGGAGACCGCGCCUACUCUUAGCUGAGCGGGCGUGGGAGACGGAUCGUUUACUUUGAAAAAAUCAGAGUGUUUCAAGCAGGCAGCUCGCUCUUGCAUGGAUUAGCAUGGGAUAAUGAAAUAGGACUCUGGUGCUAUUUUGUUGGUUUCGAACACCGGAGUAAUGAUUAACAGGGACAGUCAGGGGCACUCGUAUUCCGUCGAGAGAGGUGAAAUUCUCAGACCAAUGGAAGACGAACCACUGCGAAAGCAUUUGCCAGGGAUGUUUUCAUCG
RNAcentral lists this ribosomal RNA (389 nucleotides) under Phaeocystis sp. RNAcentral describes it as "partial small subunit ribosomal RNA". It matches the Rfam family "Eukaryotic small subunit ribosomal RNA", at positions 582 to 975 of the family's 1831-position model. Lineage: Eukaryota; Haptophyta; Phaeocystales; Phaeocystaceae. The record is from RNAcentral.